GAGGAGGACGCCGAAGGUGGGGCUGAUGACUGGGGUGAAGUCGUAACAAGGUAGCCGUACCGGAAGGUGUGGCUGGAUCACCUCCUUACAAGGAGACCUACCCUCUUAUCGUGUUGAUAACACAGCAUAAGAAUGGUCAACUAGGUCGUUCGAAGCUUUCCACUCAACCUGUUUAGCCAGGUUGAAUUUCUACUGUGCUUCUAAACUAUCCCGGUUCAGGGAUGGGGGCUAUUAGCUCAGGUGGUUAGA
Molecule: unclassified non-coding RNA, 249 nt
Filed under: Cylindrospermopsis raciborskii NIES-992
Lineage: Bacteria; Bacillati; Cyanobacteriota; Cyanophyceae; Nostocales; Aphanizomenonaceae
Description: partial may contain 16S ribosomal RNA, 16S-23S ribosomal RNA intergenic spacer, and 23S ribosomal RNA
Rfam family: Bacterial small subunit ribosomal RNA (bases 1-88)
Source: RNAcentral